GGAAGCGGGAAAAGCCCACAUUGGUAAUCUCCGGGGACAACCUCGGCGAAUUGUAAUCUGAAGAUAGCUGGCCUAAUUGGGAGAGUCGCAGAAGUGUCCACGAGCGGACCGCCAAAGAGGGUGAGAGCCCCGUCUGUGGUGACGCUUCCUACCGGGCUGGUCAUCGAAGAGUCGCGUACUUUGAUACUAGUGCGCAAAGCGGGAGAUAAACUUCUUCUAAGGCUAAAUACAUGUAGGAAACCGAUAGCGAACAAGUACUGUGAAGGAAAGAUGAAAAGCACUUUGGAAAGAGAGUUAAAAGACUUGAAAUCGUUGAGGCGGAAGCGGUAGAAAUGAAUUCUACAGCGGGGCCCUGUGAAUCUGCCUAAGCUUAGCGGAAGCGGAGAAAUCGGGCGCCGUAGUGAGACAAGAUGGAGUCGCACGAUGCCAGAAGCGGCGCAGAACGGGGCAACUCUGUCUGUGCUGGCGGGGUGUCGAGCGGCUUGAGGGGCUUUGUGCGAUCUUGUCAAAAUGGUUUUUACCGACUCGUCUUGAAACACGAACCAAGGAGUCUAAGACUAACGCGAGUAUGGUGGUGGAGAAACCAACAUGCGAAAUGAAAGUGAAUGAUGCCAAGCUCUGCAGCAGCAUCGACCGACCAUGACCCACUGGGAAAGGUUUGAGUAAGAGCGUUAUUCUUAGGACCCGAAAGAUGGUGAAACUAU
This 704-nucleotide ribosomal RNA is filed under the name Tintinnidium sp. 1 LS-2012. Its description in RNAcentral is "LSU rRNA". It matches the Rfam family "Eukaryotic large subunit ribosomal RNA", at positions 94 to 834 of the family's 3401-position model. The record is from RNAcentral. Lineage: Eukaryota; Ciliophora; Spirotrichea; Tintinnida; Tintinnidiidae.